RNA transcript from Solanum dulcamara, 3124 nucleotides. It is a transcript of the gene named regulator of nonsense transcripts UPF3, with no coding region annotated. NCBI's taxonomy places the organism in Eukaryota, Viridiplantae, Streptophyta, Magnoliopsida, Solanales, Solanaceae. The transcript has 13 exons. The record is from RefSeq and is a predicted model, not a curated record.
AAAGAGUUGAAGAAAAGAGGGCCUUUUGACAGCACUGCGUCGAGUAUUCGUACUAUAUAAAUCCUUCACAAAUUCCUCUUUUGUCACUCUUUAUAAUUCUUUCUUUUCUCUCUCUAAAAUUCCCCCUCUCUCUGUUUUUUUUAUCAUGCAUGUACAUUCAUCAUGAAAUUGGAAAAAUUAGGGCACAAGAAUUGCGAUAAUCGAUGUAAGGGAAGAUGUGAAUUGUGAUUUCUGAUUUUCUUUUCUUGUUUCUUUGGUGUAAAAUUUCUGGGAAAGAUCAAAGGAAAAAGUAUUCGCAUGAAGGGACCGUUAGAUCGAUCAAAAGUAGUGCUGCGGCACUUGCCGCCGACAAUUUCUCAGUCCAUGCUUCUUGAGCAAGUUGAUUCCCGAUUCACUUGUCGCUACAACUGGUUCUGUUUUCUACCCGGAAAGUCCAGCCAGAAGCAUCAAACUUAUGCAAGAGCCUAUAUUGAAUUUAAGAGGCCAGAAGAUGUUAUCGAGUUUGCAGAGUUCUUUGAUGGACACGUUUUUGUAAACGAGAAAGGUACUCAGUUCAAAACUAUUGUUGAGUAUGCUCCUUCACAGCGUGUUCCAAAACACUGGUCCAAGAAGGAUGGCCGCGAAGGAACCAUCUUGAAAGAUCCUGAAUAUCUGGAGUUCCUUGAAAAUAUCUCAAAGCCUGUUGAGAAUCUUCCGAGUGCAGAAAUACAGUUGGAAAGAAAGGAAGCUGAACGCGCUGGUUCUGCAAAGGAUGCUCCUAUAGUUACUCCUUUGAUGGAUUACAUACGUCAGAAAAGAGCCGCCAAGAGUGGAGCUCGGAAAUCUGUAUCUAAUGGGAGACCAACCAGAAGAACGAGUGGCACAUCGACAGGAACUCCUAGCUCAAGUGCAUCUAAACGAAGCUCUGAAAAGAGAAGGGCUUCCACUACUAUGUAUGUUCUUCGAGAUAGUUCUAAGGCUGGGAGUGGCAAAGACAAAACAUAUAUUCUAGCUCCAAAACGUGAUGAUCAGCAGCAGCGUGCUGAGAAGUCUGGUACCUCUGCUCCUGGAUCUGUGGCUAAUGCAGUUGAAGAGGAAACUGGUGGAGCUGCUGAAGUUGGAAAGAAGAAAAUCCUGCUCGUGAAGGGAAAGGAAAAAGAAAAUCCUAAUGUUUCUAGUGGUUCAUUGAUUCAGGAGAAUGUGGCACCUAUUAUUACAAUAACUUCAUCUGCUCUGAAACAGAACCAGCGUCGUGAGGCAAGUGGAAGAAUCAUUAGAAGUAUUCUUCUGAAGGAUGCUCGUCAAAAUCAGGUUCCAUCUGCAUCCCAACAAGAAAAACACAGGGUGGAUAUGGACAAAAAGCCUCCUAGGCCACCCAGUGUGCAGUUGUUUCAGAGAGAAACUAUUGGAGCUAAUGAAGACAAGGUUCUUGGAACUGAUUUGCAUGUUGUCCACACUGAGAAGCAGGAAAAGCGCACUAGGAUCAGGGAUAGGCCUGAUCGUGGUGUUUGGACUCCUCUUCGUCGUUCUGAUAGCUUACAUGCUAGUGAUGAAUCUUUAUCUUCAUCUGCCUCUCAAUCUUCCGAAGUGCCAGAUUUUGUUGAAGGAAGUCAAGGUGAAACCAAACAUGGUCUGGCAAUUGCUCGUGGUGCGGAGUUCAGACCCAUGGGAAGUGGGCGUAACUCUCAUUCUUCUUUUGACAAUGGUACUUAUAAACAUGGUGGUCGUCGUGGUAUAAGGGACGAUGGAAUUUCAGUAGGGGAAGGAAAACCCUUAAGAAGGGGAGGUCCUUCUAGCUAUGGUACCCAUGAGAAACAAGUGUGGGUCCAAAAGUCAAGUUCUGGUACUUAGUUUUGUCUCUAACGGUAAGCUUUAAAGUGGGCUGUUCAUUUCUGUCUCCAAGAACUUCUGGUUCUCAUUUUCCUGAUAUUGCAUGAAAAAAUGCCUGAUAGAUGAAAAUAUGUAUCCAAGAAAAUGCUUAACAGAUGAAUAAAUGAUUGGCAUCGAAGUGUUACCGAUUACCACAGUAGUCAGUCAUACAAAUGUAAUAGUGGUACAAGAUAUACUUUUAUUAUCAACUUAAUUUUGGUUUUGCCUAAAAGUGUGAAAGUGGUAAAAAGCCUGACCUAGUUCUUUUAUGUCAGUGCAAUCUAGCAGGUUAAUUGAUUCAAAGCACUGUGAACUCUUGAGCGAUUACUGCCUUAAUUUUUCUCAUUUUCUAUAAGUUUUAGGCAGUAUCGUAUUUGUAGAUUAAAGGGAUAGGAUCUGGGUGGCUGUACGUUUUUAGGCUUGCUGGAGAAGCCGUAUAGUUUCCCAGUGUUUGGCGGAUGCGUCUUGGAGAACAUCCAUGUGAAAUUUUUAAUGAAGAAAUUAACUGAUGAAACUCUUCUUUUGGUGGAGUCUUCAACUGUGUUAUCUGGUUUUUUCUGCAGCGAAAUGCUUGGUUUAUCCAUAUUAGGUGUGCAUGUCUAGUGUCUGGAGCUCUCUUUGCUAGACACAUCAUGUAUGAGCAAAGUUGAUGAAGCAAAGAUAAGGAUUUGAAGGCCUUAAUGGAAUUUUUGACUUGCCAUGGUGGAUAUAAAAACUGGUAUAUACUGCUAAAGUAGGCUUGAACUUACUAAAUCGAAGAUGGCUGGAGUUGGAGCAAGAAGGAAAGAAGGCGUGUCAGUGGCAUAUAUACACCACAAUUUUCAGCUGGUGUUACCGUAUGGAGUCUUUUUGUCGGAGCUAUGGGUAUCCUUGUUCCUGUGAUUGGCUCAUUAUCAAAUAAUAUAGUUCUGUAGAUGGAAGGUUUCCUUUGUUGAACUGUAAAUACAAAUGUGGAAUUGUGUGAAAGAGUGCAUGCCCAUUAAUCCCAUACCUAUGCUGAUAACACCGUGUUAGUUCUAGACUCGACUGAUUGGAGAUUGUGAAAGAAGGAAAGCUUGGAGUAUGCUGCCAUCUUUGUGGAGACUUAUUAUAGUAGUCUAAGCAGGUGGUAUUGCCAAAGCAUUGAACAGGUGGAUUCAAAGUGAUAGUCACUUGUUUUUGUGUCUGGAUUUUGGGGGUGUGCUAGUGUAAAGUGUGUUGCUGAAAUGAAAGAGCACCUUGAUCUGACUGUCAAAAAAACUAUAGUUCAGUUUAUGUGUAUACGGUUGUAGAUUAA